This 253-nucleotide ribosomal RNA is filed under the name uncultured bacterium. Its description in RNAcentral is "partial 16S ribosomal RNA". It matches the Rfam family "Bacterial small subunit ribosomal RNA", at positions 524 to 776 of the family's 1533-position model. The record is from RNAcentral.
UACGUAGGGAGCAAGCGUUGUCCGGAUUCACUGGGUGUAAAGGGUGCGUAGGCGGGAAAAUAAGUCAGUGGUGAAAUCUCACGGCUCAACCGUGAAACUGCCGUUGAUACUGUUUUUCUUGAGUUCGGGAGAGGUUGAUAGAAUUCCAGGUGUAGCGGUGAAAUGCGUAGAUAUCUGGAAGAAUACCAGUGGCGAAGGCGGUCAACUGGCCCGAAACUGACGCUGAGGCACGAAAGCCGGGGGAGCAAACAGG